This 642-nucleotide ribosomal RNA is filed under the name Triticum aestivum (bread wheat). RNAcentral's name for it is "partial small subunit ribosomal RNA". The record is from RNAcentral. Lineage: Eukaryota; Viridiplantae; Streptophyta; Magnoliopsida; Poales; Poaceae.
AUGCUUGGCGGCAUAGAUUGUAUGCACUGGGAGUGGAAGAACAGUCCAUUUGCUUGGCAGGGCCAGUACAAGGGGCAUGUCAGCGAGUGCACUGUCAUAUUAGAAGUUGUGGCAUUGCAGGAUCUCUGGAUAUGGCAUUCUUUCUUCGGUAUGGCAGGUUCUCACAAUGAUAUCAACACGCUGCAACGUUCUCCAGUCUUCGCGAGGCUUGCAGAAGGCCGCUCCCCACCUGUCAACUUUGAGGUCAAUGGCCACCAGUACAACAAAGGAUACUAUCUAGCUGAUGGUAUAUAUCCUCAGUGGUCAAGUUUUGUGAAGACAAUCUCGAAGCCCCAAGGUGAGAAGAGAAAGAGAUUUGCCCAAAUGCAAGAGAGUGCUAGAAAGGAUGUGAAACGUGCUUUUGAUGUGCUUCAAUCCCGAUGGGGCAUCGUUCGAUACCCUGCACUGUCAUGGGAUGAAAGAAAGCUUUGGGAGGUGAUGACUGCUUGUGUGAUCAUGCACAACAUGAUCGUCGAGGACGAGCGUGAUGACAGUAUCUUCGACCAAGGAUUUGACUAUCAAGGUGACAAUGUUGAGCCCCUGCAUCAAGAACCGACCACGUUUGAUCAGUUCGGCCCGUUCCAUCGUGAGCUGCGUGAUUAG